Molecule: ribosomal RNA, 1332 nt
Filed under: metagenome
Description: eukaryotic LSU rRNA
Rfam family: Eukaryotic large subunit ribosomal RNA
Source: RNAcentral
ACUUUCAUCCAACCCCCGGGCGUACUAUAAACCGCAUCAGGUCUCCAAGGUGAAUAGCCUCUAGUGCAUAGAAGAAUGUAGGCAAGGGAAGUCGGCAAAAUAGAAUCGUAACUUUGGGAUAAGAUUUGGCUCGAAAGACGCGGUGUUUCGUGCCUUGGAGAGACUUGGAAUCAGGCUAGGAUGGGGGCCUCGCAAGGGGCUUCUGUCUUGGUUACGGCUCCCUGGCUCUCCUUGGUUUCGUUCACAAUCAAGCGUUAUUUUCGAACUGGUACGAACAAGGGGAAUCCGACUGUUUAAUUAAAACAAAGCAUUGCGAUAGUUUGUAAUAAAUGUUGACGCAAUGUGAUUUCUGCCCAGUGCUCUGAAUGUCAAGUUGAAGAAAUUCAAUCAAGCGCGGGUAAACGGCGGGAGUAACUAUGACUCUCUUAAGGUAGCCAAAUGCCUCGUCAUCUAAUUUGUGACGCGCACGAAUGGAUUAAUGAGAUUCCCACUGUCCCUGUCUACCAUCUAGCGAAUCCACAGCCAAGGGAACGGGCUUGGAAAAGAAAGCGGGGAAAGAAGACCCUGUUGAGCUUGACUCUAGUCUGCUAUUGUGAAGGAACCUUGCGAGUGUAGCGUAGGGAGGAGGCCUUAAAACCGAUCUUGAAACACUCCCAUCGUGAGCGUUCCUUUACUUACUGGGUGACGCGUUGACUCUCCGGAAACGGGGUGGUUUAUGAAUCAAGUCUAGACUUUUGUCUAGGCGAGACGAGUCCAGAACACUAGCAGGUGGGGAGUUUGACUGGGGCGGUACAAGUGUGAAACAAUAGCACACUUGACCUAAGGACAGCUCAGUUUCGACGGAAACGAAACGUAGACCAUAAGGGGAAAAGCUGUCUUGAUUCUACUUUUCAGUGUGAAUGCGAACCAUGAAAGUGUGGCCUAACGAUCCUUUAUGUGCGGAGCGCUUCCGCCUAGAGGUGCCAGAAAAGUUACCACAGGGAUAACUGGCUUGUGGCAGCCAAGCGUCCAAAGCGACGUUGCUUUUUGAUCCUUCGAUGUCGGCUCUUCUCAUCAUUGGGUUGCAGUAGGCCCAAAGUGUUAGAUUGUUCACCUAUAAACGAGGAACGUGAGCUGGGUUUAGACCGUCGUGAGACAGGUUAGUUUUACCCUACUUUCGGUUGUCUUUGUUGACGCUACUCGGAUUAAGUACGAGAGGAACUACCCGGGGGAGCAUUUGGUUCAUGGGUUCGUCGAUCGACGAGGGCCCAGAAGCUACGCUCCACACGCUAAAUCCUGAAAGCCUCUAAGGAUGAAGCGUCGGCGAACAUUACAAAGAAGUGUAGGAAUUUU